This 72-nucleotide transfer RNA is filed under the name Ovis aries (sheep). It matches the Rfam family "tRNA". From Rfam's summary of the family: Transfer RNA (tRNA) molecules are approximately 80 nucleotides in length. Their secondary structure includes four short double-helical elements and three loops (D, anti-codon, and T loops). Lineage: Eukaryota; Metazoa; Chordata; Mammalia; Artiodactyla; Bovidae. The record is from Rfam by way of RNAcentral.
UCCCUAGUAGCUCAGAUGGUAAAGAAUCUGCCUGCAAUGCAGGAGACCCGGGUUUGAUCCCUGGGUUGGGAA